GUUGGGGUGGCAGAGCCCGGUAAAUGCAAAAGGCCUAAGCCCUUUUUACGGAGGUUCAAGUCCUCCCCUCAACC
RNAcentral lists this transfer RNA (74 nucleotides) under Pungitius hellenicus. Its description in RNAcentral is "tRNA-Leu". It matches the Rfam family "tRNA". From Rfam's summary of the family: Transfer RNA (tRNA) molecules are approximately 80 nucleotides in length. Lineage: Eukaryota; Metazoa; Chordata; Actinopteri; Perciformes; Gasterosteidae. The record is from RNAcentral.